GAUGAAGAACGUAGCGAAAUGCGAUAAGUAGUGUGAAUAGCAGAAUUCCGUGAAUCAUCGAAUCUUUGAACGCACAUUGCGCCUUCUGGUAUUCCGGAAGGCAUGCCUGUUCGAGAGUCAUUAACAACCGUUUCGAUCCCUUUCUUUCAGAAAUUACAAAGAGGAAAAGGGUUUGGUUAUGGUGGAGGAGGGAAAGGGAGCGUUUAGCCUGUAAAAAAAGAGGCUGUGUUCCGCCUCCCCCCCAAAAUUGUACAGGCGGUCGUGUGCGCCCACGCAUCGAGGUGUUGUAAAAGCUGCCACGGCACUUUUCACCUGUGCAGUGCGAGAUUGGCCAGCCGGUUUAAAAACCCCUCCAAACAAUCAAAGGUUGACCUCGGAUCAGGUAGGGAUACCCGCUGAACUUAAGCAUAUCAAUAAGCGGAGGA
This 425-nucleotide unclassified non-coding RNA is filed under the name soil metagenome. Its description in RNAcentral is "partial contains 5.8S ribosomal RNA, internal transcribed spacer 2, and large subunit ribosomal RNA". The stretch from base 1 to 120 matches the Rfam family "5.8S ribosomal RNA", at positions 35 to 154 of the family's 154-position model. The record is from RNAcentral.